This is an RNA transcript of Argiope bruennichi, 1563 nucleotides long. RefSeq lists it as uncharacterized. The record is from RefSeq and is a predicted model, not a curated record. The transcript is spliced from 8 exons. Lineage: Eukaryota; Metazoa; Arthropoda; Arachnida; Araneae; Araneidae.
AGAUGUUCCUUGAUUUAUAACAACAAAGUCUUAAUGUAAUUUUCUUAGGAAUAAACUAAACCAGUUCGUGUAAAAUUUAUUUUCAAUUUAUGGGUAUUUUGAAGCUCCUUGUUUUUACGAUUUUGUUACUGAUAUGCAAAGACGAGACUGGAGCUUUUACAAUUUCUGAGGUGGACGACAGUCGAUUCGAUGGAAAACGAUGGUUGUUAGAAAAAUGGUCUCCUUCAGCAGGGUGGCGGGAAAACACCCACAGAGGAAUCAUAGCUUGGUAUUCAUCAACCAAAGGAAUUACUACAGGUAUUAAUUCAGACGAAAACCUGAUGGUGAAACAACUGGAGGUUCUGACACUAGCAUCUCUUUUGAGAAAUGAAACGGAUCCUCUAACUGCAAAUCAGCUCAGUAUGUACAUUAAUGCUAUGAUUGUGACCUGUCAAAAUCUUCGCAACUUCUAUGGAUUUGACUUGUUGAAGUUACUGAAAGAGGAAAUUGAAACUUCUUCUAUAGCAACUCAUCCUGUGGCUUAUCUCGCCCUCUGCAAUACCGGUGAAACCUUGCAAAUAAAUGCAAUCAGUGAUCUGUGCAUCGUUUUAAAUGAUAACUGGAAUUAUCCUUUUUUCCUAGAAGUUCAGGCAGCAGCUGUCAUGGCUCUCUCCUGCAUUCGAACCAGUCAGCAAGAUGUUUAUGCCCACUGUACUGAUUAUGAUCCAACUAUAAAAAAAUUCAAGCAGCUUCAGCUCGAAGAUGGAAGCUUUGGAAAUAUCUACACUACUGCAAUUGUUACCCAAGCACUUCUUUCAGCUGGUGAAGGAAAUAGCAAAGAUUGGAAACUUAAUGCAGCAGUCAAGUAUUUAACGACGCAUUUAAAUUCAUCUAUCGACUUUCUGGCUAUGUAUUUGAUUCUGCCGGUUUUAAACAGGAAAAGCUUAUCAGAUGUGAGAAACAUAAACUGCUCUAUUGAUCUGCGACAUAAAUCGAAAGGCGAUUCUGCCCCCGAUGUGAGAAAUAAGCUCGUCUCUCAAAUGCGUGUGCGAUAUACUGUAUACAUUGGCGACAAAAAGGAUAGAGCUUCCUCCAUAACCCUUCGAACGCCCGAAAACAUCACUGUAUUUCAGACCAUGCAACUAGCAGAAAAAGCAGACUCCAAAUACAAAUUUUAGUGGAAAAAAAUGGGAGAAAAAAUGUACGUCUACGAUAUAGCAGGCGUGAAAAACGAUUUUGAAGAUGGAUUGUUUUGGAUGCUGUAUAUUAGAAAAAAUGGUACUUUAGCAUUUGGAAUCAAAACAAGUCCCGAUAAAUUCAUUGUACGAGACGGAUGGCAAGUAAUUAUGUGGUACAAGAAGUUUAAUAUUCGAGUAUUGAAACAACACUGACAUCGAUUUGUUUUUGAAAUAUUAUUCGAAGUCUUUCUAUACAAUUAGAAAUUGUUUAUUUAGUUAAUUUAGAGCUGUUAUAUGGUUAAAUAAGUUAAACAAUUAAUUUGUUGGUGAAACUCGCUAACAUUCUUAGAUUUAAAUACCAGCUUAUAUUUUUGUUCAGAGAGCAAAAUUUCAAACAUUGGAAUUG